RNAcentral lists this ribosomal RNA (623 nucleotides) under Klebsiella sp. MJS26. RNAcentral's name for it is "bacterial SSU rRNA". It matches the Rfam family "Bacterial small subunit ribosomal RNA", at positions 85 to 704 of the family's 1533-position model. The record is from RNAcentral. Lineage: Bacteria; Pseudomonadati; Pseudomonadota; Gammaproteobacteria; Enterobacterales; Enterobacteriaceae.
CGGGUGACGAGUGGCGGACGGGUGAGUAAUGUCUGGGAAACUGCCUGAUGGAGGGGGAUAACUACUGGAAACGGUAGCUAAUACCGCAUAACGUCGCAAGACCAAAGAGGGGGACCUUCGGGCCUCUUGCCAUCAGAUGUGCCCAGAUGGGAUUAGCUAGUAGGGGGGGUAACGGCUCACCUAGGCGACGAUCCCUAGCUGGUCUGAGAGGAUGACCAGCCACACUGGAACUGAGACACGGUCCAGACUCCUACGGGAGGCAGCAGUGGGGAAUAUUGCACAAUGGGCGCAAGCCUGAUGCAGCCAUGCCGCGUGUAUGAAGAAGGCCUUCGGGUUGUAAAGUACUUUCAGCGGGGAGGAAGGCGAUGAGGUUAAUAACCUUGUCAAUUGACGUUACCCGCAGAAGAAGCACCGGCUAACUCCGUGCCAGCAGCCGCGGUAAUACGGAGGGUGCAAGCGUUAAUCGGAAUUACUGGGCGUAAAGCGCACGCAGGCGGUCUGUCAAGUCGGAUGUGAAAUCCCCGGGCUCAACCUGGGAACUGCAUUCGAAACUGGCAGGCUAGAGUCUUGUAGAGGGGGGUAGAAUUCCAGGUGUAGCGGUGAAAUGCGUAGAGAUCUGGAGG